AGUGAACGCUGGCGGUAGGCCUAACACAUGCAAGUCGAACGGCAGCACAGUAAGAGCUUGCUCUUACGGGUGGCGAGUGGCGGACGGGUGAGGAAUACAUCGGAAUCUACUUUUUCGUGGGGGAUAACGUAGGGAAACUUACGCUAAUACCGCAUACGACCUACGGGUGAAAGCAGGGGAUCUUCGGACCUUGCGCGAUUGAAUGAGCCGCUGUCGGAUUAGCUAGUUGGCGGGGUAAAGGCCCACCAAGGCGACGGUCCGUAGCUGGUCUGAGAGGAUGAUCAGCCACACUGGAACUGAGACACGGUCCAGACUCCUACGGGAGGAAGCAGUGGGGAAUAUUGGACAAAGGGCGCAAGCCUGCUCCAGCCAUACCGCGUGGGUGAAGAAGGCCUUCGGGUUGUAAAGCCCUUUUGUUGGGAAAGAAAAGCAGCAGGUUAAUACCCCGCUGUUCUGACGGUACCCAAAGAAUAAGCACCGGCUAACUUCGUG
This 492-nucleotide ribosomal RNA is filed under the name uncultured bacterium. RNAcentral's name for it is "partial 16S ribosomal RNA". It matches the Rfam family "Bacterial small subunit ribosomal RNA", at positions 29 to 507 of the family's 1533-position model. The record is from RNAcentral.